Long non-coding RNA from Stegostoma tigrinum, 2360 nucleotides. RefSeq lists it as uncharacterized. The record is from RefSeq and is a predicted model, not a curated record. The transcript is spliced from 2 exons. Lineage: Eukaryota; Metazoa; Chordata; Chondrichthyes; Orectolobiformes; Stegostomatidae.
CAUGCCAAAGUCACCAGAUUGUAACUAGUUUAUAAUAACGUGCCUUUCAAGAAGGUGCGCCACAGGGAGUGAAGUUGGAACAGAUUUUAAAAGCUAAAAAGUUGCGGGUUAUUGAAGUCCAUAUUUUAGUGGAAUUACAGUAAUAUCUUCCUAUUUCAGAAGUAUACUAUUAAUUUAGCAUCAAAACACGGGUUUAACGUUACAAAUGGUAGAUGGAGUCCAGAUUUCUAGCACUCAAUUUCCUCUAGUAUGCUUGCAUGGGAAACAUUUAACCAACUAUUUUACAUUGAUCAGUUAAAAAGAAAUGCAGGUCUGUUGUAUCUGAAAAUAAAGAAGGUAGCUUUGCAAUAUUUCAAAGCUGAUUCUUUCAGAUGCUUAUAUUUGCAACAUUUUGUAUCAGUGAUAUUUGAGUAUAAACAACUGAAGCUUUGCCAUUAUUUUGACCACAAUCUGCAUUAAAACAUUUGACACUACAAAGCUGCAGAAUCAAUUUUGUAGCAUUAAAUCAGACUGCAGUUUAUUAAUUUUAGGCUUUCUCAACUGCUUCCCUAAUAAAAGCACUUCAAAAGCAUUCCAGGGGUAUGUGGAUUAGGUGGGUUACAGGGAUGGGUCUGGGUGGGAUGCUUCGAGGGUCAGUGUGGACUUGUUAGGCUAAAGGGCCUGUUUCCACACUGUAGAGAUUCUAUGAUGAUGAAUUAGAACGCUGCAGGCAAAGUGCUUUGGGAAGUUUUACAGAGCUUUGACAUGGCGAUGUGCAAAUGAAAGGUUAUCCAUUUUUCUUCCAAAGAAGGUGGUAACCAUUUAUUUGUACUAGUAGCCAUUUUGAACCUCAUAUUCAAAAAAAAGUUAAUUUGAAAUCCACUACAUGUGUCCUGAAAGACAAAGAAAUUCCUCCAACCAUGAUCUUGGAUAAUCUGUUUGUGGCUUUUCUGCAUCUAUAAAAGAGGUUUCAAUCCUUGCUACAAAAGCUCAGCAGGUCUAGCAGCAUCUGUGAAGGAAAAAAAAAGUUAACAUUUUGGGUCCGGUGACCGUUCCUCAGAAGGGGUUCUGAGGAAGGGUCACCAGACCCGAAACAUUAACGCUGGUUUUUCCUUCACAGAUACUGACAGACCUGCUGAGCUUUUCCAGCAACUUUGUCUUUGUUCCUGAUUUACAGCAUCUGCAGUUCUUUCAGUUUUUAUUCAAUCCUUGCCACCUUGGAACCAUUCUCAGCCUUCACAGGUUUUGAAUAUUUUACAAGUCAUCUUGCAUCACAACUUCUUUUCACAAUCAAAUUCUAGAAAUUGAUAAGUUACCAUACCUGAAGAACAAACACACCACAGUCGCUAUCGUUUUUCUGUUGAGGAAUACACUAUAGGAGAGAAUAACACAGGCAUUAAAUACUAUACAUCAGUAGUUCAUUGUCCAAGUUAUUUUAAAACAAUUUUGCUUUCAUAACCUUCAGCUUACUUUGGGGGAGAAAGCAGAGUGUGGGCCUGCAAAGAAAUGCACCAGGGAUAGAGAAUAUAUGGACAGCAAGUGGGACUUGCAGUCCCCACUUACCUGGGGAGAAAAAAAACAGAUCUGCAAGCAAACACACCAGGGAUAGAGAAUAUAUAAACAGAGCAUGAGGGUAUGAGCCAUCCCUCACCUGGGAGGCAACAGACAGCACGCCUGCAAAGAAAUGCAGAGAGGACAAAGACAACACAGCACUAGGCUCAAGGCCUACAGAUACCUGGGAGAGCACGCACAGGGCAUAACUGCGAGGAAACACACAGGAGACAAAGAACUAGGCUUAAGGCGUACACUUGCCUGGGAGAGCGCGCAGAGGGGUGUGUUUUGAGAGUUCUAGAAUACCAGGUUUGAAGAAAAAUCCAAAGACUGACAUCACAGCAAUGUCUUACGCCAGGUUGAGAAGUAUCGGGUUGCAAAGAGCUAAAUUCAUUGGACCUGAUUGUGGAGUAAUUUUUACUUUUUGCUUUCUCAAUUGCAGUUGAAGGUAAUUAAUCCAAAUGUACACUUUCAGACAUUGCAGAACUGUUCAGCUGUGUGGAAUACCAUGCUGUGCGAUGUGGGAAGUCGUGGAUGCUUCAAGUGGCAGGAAUCUUGAGCCCUGGGAUUGGAACAUCAGUGGCACUGCAGUCACUAUGUCACUCCCACACAACUGUGAACUAUGUGGAUAAUUGGAAAGAGUAAAGAAGCAGCAGCUUUUAGUAACCACCAAGGCACACACUGAGUUUGAAAUGGAAAUCAGCGUGCUGUCCAACUGGAAGCAGAAGACCCGAGACCACUGACUGGAAAGUGACGGUCAUAAUAUGUCCAUAGUUGUUGUUGUGCUAAGUAUUAUUCAUAAUUGUAAUAAAGUUUCCUAAGUUACUUCA